AAUACGACUCUCGGCAACGGAUAUCUCGGCUCUCGCAUCGAUGAAGAACGUAGCGAAAUGCGAUACUUGGUGUGAAUUGCAGAAUCCCGUGAACCAUCGAGUCUUUGAACGCAAGUUGCGUCCCAAGCCGUUAGGCUGAGGGCACGUCUGCCUGGGUGUCACGC
This 164-nucleotide ribosomal RNA is filed under the name Aglaia apiocarpa. Its description in RNAcentral is "5.8S ribosomal RNA". It matches the Rfam family "5.8S ribosomal RNA". Rfam says of the family: 5.8S ribosomal RNA (5.8S rRNA) is a component of the large subunit of the eukaryotic ribosome. The record is from RNAcentral. Lineage: Eukaryota; Viridiplantae; Streptophyta; Magnoliopsida; Sapindales; Meliaceae.